UAAUUAAUACAGGUGAGAGGGCCCAUUCGGCCUGCCAGGUGUUCCUGGACUACAACUCCCAUCAGCCCCAACAAGCAUGGCCAAUGGUCAGGGGUGAUGGGAGUUGUAGUCCAGCAACACCUGGAGGGCCAAAUGGGUCCUCUCACUUGUAUUAGUUA
Podarcis lilfordi (Lilford's wall lizard) is the source of this 158-nucleotide non-coding RNA. NCBI's taxonomy places the organism in Eukaryota, Metazoa, Chordata, Lepidosauria, Squamata, Lacertidae. The record is from the annotation of a GenBank genome assembly.